GAUCUUCGGAUCUAGUGGCGCACGGGUGCGUAACGCGUGGGAAUCUGCCCUUUGCUUCGGAAUAACAGUGAGAAAUUACUGCUAAUACCGGAUGAUGUCUUCGGACCAAAGAUUUAUCGGAAAGGAUGAGCCCGCGUAGGAUUAGGUAGUUGGUGGGGUAAUGGCCUACCAAGCCGACGAUCCUUAGCUGGUCUGAGAGGAUGAUCAGCCACACUGGGACUGAGACACGGCCCAGACUCCUACGGGAGGCAGCAGUGGGGAAUAUUGGACAAUGGGCGAAAGCCUGAUCCAGCAAUGCCGCGUGAGUGAUGAAGGCCUUAGGGUUGUAAAGCUCUUUUACCAGGGAUGAUAAUGACAGUACCUGGAGAAUAAGCUCCGGCUAACUCCGUGCCAGCAGCCGCGGUAAUACGGAGGGAGCUAGCGUUGUUCGGAAUUACUGGGCGUAAAGCGCGCGUAGGCGGUUACUCAAGUCAGAGGUGAAAGCCCGGGGCUCAACCCCGGAACUGCCUUUGAAACUAGGUGACUAGAAU
Molecule: ribosomal RNA, 530 nt
Filed under: Novosphingobium sp. SB34
Lineage: Bacteria; Pseudomonadati; Pseudomonadota; Alphaproteobacteria; Sphingomonadales; Sphingomonadaceae
Description: bacterial SSU rRNA
Rfam family: Bacterial small subunit ribosomal RNA
Source: RNAcentral